UACGGGGGGGCAAGCGUUGUUCGGAAUUACUGGGCGUAAAGGCUCGUAGGCGGCCAACUAAGUCGGAUGUGAAAUCCCCAAGCUUAACUUGGGAACUGCAUCCGAUACUGGAUGGCUUGAAUCCGGGAGAGGGAUGCAGAAUUCCAGGUGUAGCGGUGAAAUGCGUAGAUAUCUGGAGGAACACCGGUGGCGAAGGCGGCAUCCUGGACCGGUAUUGACGCUGAGGCGCGAAAGCCAGGGGAGCAAACGGG
RNAcentral lists this ribosomal RNA (251 nucleotides) under uncultured bacterium. Its description in RNAcentral is "partial 16S ribosomal RNA". It matches the Rfam family "Bacterial small subunit ribosomal RNA", at positions 524 to 776 of the family's 1533-position model. The record is from RNAcentral.